This 515-nucleotide ribosomal RNA is filed under the name uncultured Pseudomonadota bacterium. Its description in RNAcentral is "bacterial SSU rRNA". It matches the Rfam family "Bacterial small subunit ribosomal RNA", at positions 8 to 522 of the family's 1533-position model. Lineage: Bacteria; Pseudomonadati; Pseudomonadota. The record is from RNAcentral.
AGAGUUUGAUCAUGGCUCAGAUUGAACGCUGGCGGCAGGCCUAACACAUGCAAGUCGAGCGCGAAAGGCUUUCGGGCUGAGUAGAGCGGCGGACGGGUGAGUAACGCGUAGGAAUCUACCUGGUAGUGGGGACAACUUGGGGAAACUCAAGCUAAUACCGCAUACGCCCCAAGGGGGAAAGCGGGGGACCUUCGGGCCUCGCGCUAUCAGAUGAGCCUGCGUAGGAUUAGCUAGUUGGUGAGGUAAAGGCUCACCAAGGCGACGAUCCUUAGCUGGUCUGAGAGGAUGAUCAGCCACACUGGGACUGAGACACGGCCCAGACUCCUACGGGAGGCAGCAGUGGGGAAUAUUGCGCAAUGGGGGCAACCCUGACGCAGCCAUGCCGCGUGUGUGAAGAAGGCCUUCGGGUUGUAAAGCACUUUAAGUGGGGAAGAAAAGUUGGUCGUUAAUAGCGGCCAGCCCUGACAUUACCCACAGAAUAAGCACCGGCUAACUCCGUGCCAGCAGCCGCGGUA